AGUGAACGCUGGCGGUAGGCCUAACACAUGCAAGUCGAACGGCAGCACAGUAAGAGCUUGCUCUUACGGGUGGCGAGUGGCGGACGGGUGAGGAAUACAUCGGAAUCUACUUUUUCGUGGGGGAUAACGUAGGGAAACUUACGCUAAUACCGCAUACGACCUACGGGUGAAGGCAGGGGAUCUUCGGACCUUGCGCGAUUGAAUGAGCCGAUGUCGGAUUAGCUAGUUGGCGGGGUAAAGGCCCACCAAGGCGACGAUCCGUAGCUGGUCUGAGAGGAUGAUCAGCCACACUGGAACUGAGACACGGUCCAGACUCCUACGGGAGGCAGCAGUGGGGAAUAUUGGACAAUGGGCGCAAGCAUGAUCCAGCCAUACCGCGUGGGUGAAGAAGGCCUUCGGGUUGUAAAGCCCUUUUGUUGGGAAAGAAAAGCAGCAGGUUAAUACCCCGCUGUUCUGACGGUACCCAAAGAAUAAGCACCGGCUAACUUCGUG
RNAcentral lists this ribosomal RNA (492 nucleotides) under uncultured bacterium. RNAcentral's name for it is "partial 16S ribosomal RNA". It matches the Rfam family "Bacterial small subunit ribosomal RNA", at positions 29 to 507 of the family's 1533-position model. The record is from RNAcentral.